GGAGGCAGCAGUAGGGAAUCUUCCGCAAUGGACGAAAGUCUGACGGAGCAACGCCGCGUGAGUGAUGAAGGUUUUCGGAUCGUAAAGCUCUGUUGUUAGGGACGAACAAGUACCGUUCGAAUAGGGCGGUACCUUGACGGUACCUAACCAGAAAGCCACGGCUAACUACGUGCCAGCAGCCGCGGUAAUACGUAGGUGGCGAGCGUUGUCCGGAAUUAUUGGGCGUAAAGGGCUCGCAGGCGGUUUCUUAAGACUGAUGUGAAAGCCCCCGGCUCAACCGGGGAGGGUCAUUGGAAACUGGGGAACUUGAGUGCAGAAGAGGAGAGUGGAAUUCCACGUGUAGCGGUGAAAUGCGUAGAGAUGUGGAGGAACACCAGUGGCGAAGGCGACUCUCUGGUCUGUAACAGACGCUGAGGAGCGAAAGCGUGGGGAGCGAACAGGAUUAGAUACCCUGGUAGUCCACGCCGUAAACGAUGAGUGCUAAGUGUUAGGGGGUUUCCGCCCCUUAGUCCCUGCAGCUUAC
This 523-nucleotide ribosomal RNA is filed under the name Bacillus subtilis. RNAcentral describes it as "bacterial SSU rRNA". It matches the Rfam family "Bacterial small subunit ribosomal RNA", at positions 344 to 856 of the family's 1533-position model. Lineage: Bacteria; Bacillati; Bacillota; Bacilli; Caryophanales; Bacillaceae. The record is from RNAcentral.